Molecule: long non-coding RNA, 151 nt
Organism: Choloepus didactylus (southern two-toed sloth)
Lineage: Eukaryota; Metazoa; Chordata; Mammalia; Pilosa; Megalonychidae
Exons: 3
Source: RefSeq, a predicted model, not a curated record
CUUGAUGUUCCCCCAAGAACAGGAACGGCAACAGCAGCUACCUGAAGCACAGAGCUGCCCUGGGUGUCUCUUGCGACAGAAAGAAAUUGAUGACCUUAAACAUCAACUUGCGGUCAUGCAGAGCCUCAUUGACAAAUUCCAGGCCCUUUGA